AAUGGAUAUCUAGGCUCUCGCAUCGAUGAAGAACGUAGCGAAAUGCGAUACUUGGUGUGAAUUGCAGAACCCCGUGAACCAUCGAGUCUUUGA
Molecule: ribosomal RNA, 93 nt
Filed under: Amianthium muscitoxicum
Lineage: Eukaryota; Viridiplantae; Streptophyta; Magnoliopsida; Liliales; Melanthiaceae
Description: 5.8S ribosomal RNA
Rfam family: 5.8S ribosomal RNA
About the family: 5.8S ribosomal RNA (5.8S rRNA) is a component of the large subunit of the eukaryotic ribosome. It is transcribed by RNA polymerase I as part of the 45S precursor that also contains 18S and 28S rRNA. Functionally, it is thought that 5.8S rRNA may be involved in ribosome translocation.
Source: RNAcentral